This 266-nucleotide ribosomal RNA is filed under the name uncultured bacterium. RNAcentral's name for it is "partial 16S ribosomal RNA". It matches the Rfam family "Bacterial small subunit ribosomal RNA", at positions 793 to 1055 of the family's 1533-position model. The record is from RNAcentral.
GUCCUAGCCCUAAACGGUGCUUGCUUGCUGUAAGAGGAAUCGACCCCUCUUGUGGCGGAGCUAACGCGUUAAGCAAGCCGCCUGGGAAGUACGGUCGCAAGAUUAAAACUCAAAGAAAUUGACGGGGCCUGCACAAGCGGUGGAGUAUGUGGCUUAAUUCGAUGCAACGCGAAGAACCUUACCUGGCCUUGACAUGCAUCUAGUAGAAGGGUGAAAGCCUGACGAGGUAGCAAUACCAGGAUGCACAGGUGCUGCAUGGCUGUCGU